RNAcentral lists this ribosomal RNA (445 nucleotides) under uncultured bacterium. RNAcentral's name for it is "bacterial SSU rRNA". It matches the Rfam family "Bacterial small subunit ribosomal RNA", at positions 330 to 792 of the family's 1533-position model. The record is from RNAcentral.
UCCAGACUCCUACGGGAGGCAGCAGUGGGGAAUAUUGCACAAUGGGGGAAACCCUGAUGCAGCGACGCCGCGUGAGUGAAGAAGUAUUUCGGUAUGUAAAGCUCUAUCAGCAGGGAAGAUAAUGACGGUACCUGACUAAGAAGCCCCGGCUAACUACGUGCCAGCAGCCGCGGUAAUACGUAGGGGGCAAGCGUUAUCCGGAUUUACUGGGUGUAAAGGGUGCGCAGGUGGCAGGGCAAGUCAGAUGUGAAAGCCCGGGGCUCAACCCCGGUAUUGCAUUUGAAACUGUCCGGCUAGAGUGCAGGAGAGGUAAGCGGAAUUCCUAGUGUAGCGGUGAAAUGCGUAGAUAUUAGGAGGAACACCAGUGGCGAAGGCGGCUUACUGGACUGUAACUGACGUUGAGGCUCGAAAGCGUGGGGAGCAAACAGGAUUAGAUACCCCGGUA